RNAcentral lists this ribosomal RNA (253 nucleotides) under uncultured bacterium. RNAcentral describes it as "partial 16S ribosomal RNA". It matches the Rfam family "Bacterial small subunit ribosomal RNA", at positions 524 to 776 of the family's 1533-position model. The record is from RNAcentral.
UACGGGGGGGGCAAGCGUUGUUCGGAAUUACUGGGCGUAAAGGGCGCGUAGGCGGCCUUCUAAGUCGAACGUGAAAUCCCUGGGCUUAACCCAGGAACUGCGUCCGAUACUGGGAGGCUUGAAUUCGGGAGAGGGAUGCGGAAUUCCAGGUGUAGCGGUGAAAUGCGUAGAUAUCUGGAGGAACACCGGUGGCGAAGGCGGCAUCCUGGACCGAGAUUGACGCUGAGGCGCGAAAGCCAGGGGAGCAAACGGG